GUGCUUGCACCUUAUCUUAGCGGCGGACGGGUGAGUAAUGCUUAGGAAUCUGCCUAUUAGUGGGGGACAACAUUCCGAAAGGAAUGCUAAUACCGCAUACGUCCUACGGGAGAAAGCAGGGGAUCUUCGGACCUUGCGCUAGUAGAUGAGCCUGAGUCGGAUUAGCUAGUUGGUGGGGUAAAGGCCUACCAAGGCGACGAUCUGUAGCGGGUCUGAGAGGAUGAUCCGCCACACUGGGACUGAGACACGGCCCAGACUCCUACGGGAGGCAGCAGUGGGGAAUAUUGGACAAUGGGCGGGAGCCUGAUCCAGCCAUGCCGCGUGUGUGAAGAAGGCCUUUUGGUUGUAAAGCACUUUAAGCGAGGAGGAGGCUACCUAGAUUAAUACUCUGGGAUAGUGGACGUUACUCGCAGAAUAAGCACCGGCUAACUCUGUGCCAGCAGCCGCGGUAAUACAGAGGGUGCGAGCGUUAAUCGGAUUUACUGGGCGUAAAGCGUGCGUAGGCGGCUGAUUAAGUCGGAUGUGAAAUCCCUGAGCUUAACUUAGGAAUUGCAUUCGAUACUGGUCAGCUAGAGUAUGGGAGAGGAUGGUAGAAUUCCAGGUGUAGCGGUGAAAUGCGUAGAGAUCUGGAGGAAUACCGAUGGCGAAGGCAGCCAUCUGGCCUAAUACUGACGCUGAGGUACGAAAGCAUGGGGAGCAAACAGGAUUAGAUACCCUGGUAGUCCAUGCCGUAAACGAUGUCUACUAGCCGUUGGGGCCUUUGAGGCUUUAGUGGCGCAGCUAACGCGAUAAGUAGA
RNAcentral lists this ribosomal RNA (797 nucleotides) under uncultured bacterium. Its description in RNAcentral is "bacterial SSU rRNA". It matches the Rfam family "Bacterial small subunit ribosomal RNA", at positions 76 to 868 of the family's 1533-position model. The record is from RNAcentral.